GCUACUAUAGUAUAGUAGUAGUAUAGCUAGGCAAAGGUAUAUAGUAUCCGCGCUAAGGCCUUAAUGCCUUUAGUAAUAGCGAUAAUACUUUGUAUACUAGUAGUCGUAGGUUCGAAUCCUACUAGAGGCG
This 130-nucleotide transfer RNA is filed under the name Cercospora zeae-maydis SCOH1-5. RNAcentral's name for it is "tRNA-Phe". Lineage: Eukaryota; Fungi; Ascomycota; Dothideomycetes; Mycosphaerellales; Mycosphaerellaceae. The record is from RNAcentral.